RNAcentral lists this ribosomal RNA (253 nucleotides) under uncultured bacterium. Its description in RNAcentral is "partial 16S ribosomal RNA". It matches the Rfam family "Bacterial small subunit ribosomal RNA", at positions 524 to 776 of the family's 1533-position model. The record is from RNAcentral.
UACGUAGGUGGCAAGCGUUAUCCGGAUUUAUUGGGUUUAAAGGGUCCGUAGGCGGAUCUGUAAGUCAGUGGUGAAAUCUCACAGCUUAACUGUGAAACUGCCAUUGAUACUGCAGGUCUUGAGUGUUAUUGAAGUAGCUGGAAUAAUUAGUGUAGCGGUGAAAUGCAUAGAUAUUACUUAGAACACCAAUUGCGAAGGCAGGUUACUAAGCAACAACUGACGCUGAUGGACGAAAGCGUGGGGAGCGAACAGG